Non-coding RNA from Capra hircus (goat), 533 nucleotides. Lineage: Eukaryota; Metazoa; Chordata; Mammalia; Artiodactyla; Bovidae. The record is from the annotation of a RefSeq genome assembly.
CCCAGCCCAGCUGCGGGCUCAGAGGCAGAGCUCGGGGCGCGUCCACCAUGGCCUGGACCCCUCUCCUGCUGCCCCUCCUCACUCUCUGCACAGGCUCCGUGGUCUCCUAUGAACUGACCCAGCCGACUUCAGUGUCAGUGGCCUUGGGACAGACGGCCAAGGUCACCUGCCAGGGAGACAACCUAGGAAGCUCUUAUGUUCAGUGGCACCAGCAGAAGCCGGGCCAGGCCCCUGUGACGGUCAUUUAUCAGGAUAGUAAGAGGCCCUCGGGGAUCCCUGACCGGUUCUCUGGCUCCAACUCGGGGAACACGGCCACCCUGACCAUCAGCGGGGCCCGGACCGAGGACGAGGCCGACUAUUACUGUCAGUCAGCUGACAGCAGCAAUAAUCCUCACAGUGACACAGACAGGCGGGGAAGCGAGACACAAACCCUCCCAUGCUGCUCACGCUCUCCUCCAGCCCCGGGAGGACUGGGGACACCGCAGGGACAGGCCUGGCCCGGGUCUCCCCGGAGCUGAGCCCCCAGGCGGCCC